GGCCUUUUGGGUAUAAUUUAAGGUCUGACCUGCCCAGUGAUGAAUUUAACGGCCGCGGUAUACUGACCGUGCAAAGGUAGCAUAAUCAUUAGUCUUUUAAUAGAGGGCUGGAAUGAACGGUUUAACGAGGAACUGACUGUCUCAUUUUAUUUGUUUUAAAAUUUAAUUUUUUAGUUAAAAAGCUAAAAUUUUAUUGGAAGACGAGAAGACCCUAUAGAUCUUUAUACAAUUUUGUAUUUAUUAACAUGUUUAUAUUAAAAUUGUAUUUUGUUGGGGUGACGAAAAUAUAUGAUUAACUUUUUUAUUUAUUUACCAUUGAUAUAUGAGUAUUAGAUCCAUUAUUAGUGAUUGUUAGAAUAAGUUACCUUAGGGAUAACAGCGUAAUCCUCCUCCAGAGUUCAUAUUUACAGGAGGGCUUGCGACCUCGAUGUUGGAUUAAGAUAAUAAUUAGGUGUAGCCGCUUAAUUUAUAGGUCUGUUCGACCUUUAAAUUCUU
RNAcentral lists this ribosomal RNA (495 nucleotides) under Sympetrum maculatum. RNAcentral describes it as "partial 16S rRNA". It matches the Rfam family "Bacterial large subunit ribosomal RNA", at positions 1819 to 2597 of the family's 2925-position model. The record is from RNAcentral. Lineage: Eukaryota; Metazoa; Arthropoda; Insecta; Odonata; Libellulidae.